GAAGCAGCUCGGGGCUGCCGGGGAAGCAGCUGGACCGGCCCAGCUGUAUUUUCCCUUCCACUCUCUCCCUCCCACCCCCAGCAAGGAAAAAGGAAGAGGAGAAUCAAAAGGAAGUCCAGAGAAGGGAAGGCAGUUUUACGAGCCAGGUCUGCCAAGCCAGGCCACCCGGAGUGGGGCCGCCUGGGAGGCGCGAGGUGCCCCGAGGAAACCCCGACACGGCACAGAUCCGCCUGGGCAAGGUGGGACUCGAGCCCUUGUCCUUGCGUCAGUCUUGAUGACAUCCCCCAGGGCCUGGCCCGUGGCAGGAGCUUCCCCCCACGGCCUCCACAUCCGCAGCCCUGGACAGCAGCUGGACCUGCCUCCCCUCCCCCGCACGCCCAGCUGCUGGGGUCCAGCUCCUGGGAGCCCAGGGCCCUCCCUGAGUCAUCUCAGAGCCCCCUCCCCACCUGCAGACGCAGACCCACACUCCUACCCCACCCCCUGGGGUGCUUUACACAUCCCUUAGUCAGUGAUUAAGACAUAUUUGCUAAAUAAUAAAUGAGUGCAAACUCCCAGGUCCAGGA
This 563-nucleotide long non-coding RNA is filed under the name Dasypus novemcinctus (nine-banded armadillo). RNAcentral's name for it is "lncRNA (ENSDNOG00000050271.1)". The record is from RNAcentral. Lineage: Eukaryota; Metazoa; Chordata; Mammalia; Cingulata; Dasypodidae.